UUGGCUCAGGAUGAACGCUGGCGGCAUGCCUAACACAUGCAAGUCGAACGAAGCACUGAAGAAUGGAGAUUCGUCAAAGUUCUUCUUUGACUGAGUGGCGAACGGGUGAGUAAUGCGUGAGCAACCUGCCCUUCAGAGGGGGACAACAGUUGGAAACGACUGCUAAUACCGCAUGACGUAUUCGGGAGGCAUCUUCUGGAUACCAAAGGAGAAAUCCGCUGAGGGAUGGGCUCACGUCUGAUUAGCUAGUUGGUAGGGUAACGGCCUACCAAGGCUGCGAUCAGUAGCCGGACUGAGAGGUUGAACGGCCACAUUGGGACUGAGAUACGGCCCAGACUCCUACGGGAGGCAGCAGUGGGGAAUA
Molecule: ribosomal RNA, 364 nt
Filed under: uncultured rumen bacterium
Lineage: Bacteria
Description: bacterial SSU rRNA
Rfam family: Bacterial small subunit ribosomal RNA
Source: RNAcentral